Mus spicilegus (steppe mouse) is the source of this 444-nucleotide long non-coding RNA. Lineage: Eukaryota; Metazoa; Chordata; Mammalia; Rodentia; Muridae. The record is from Ensembl.
GUUGGAUCCCCUCACUUCAGUUUGACCACACUUCAGCCAGCAUUUAACCUUCUCUCUCAGUGUCACUCAUCCAGGGACAAGAAUAUCAGGGGUGCUCAGAUUUGAUCUGUUGCUACUGGCAUUCACAGCUUACAUAAAAUUAUGUACCAGGGCCAGACUGGAAUGGGAUGGACUGAUUCUCUUACAUCAAAAUUAAAGUGUGCUAAGGGAUGUGCCAGCUACAGCAACAUGGUCUGCAUUAGGAUCUGAAUCCCUUCCUCAGGCUUCCAGUGGGCCCAUCCUUCUCCCUGUCUCCAAGGUUGCUUUAUAACAGUAAACAAUAUUCAACCAAUAACAAAGUUCUAAUGGGCUUCUUUGAAGAGCUGACUAGAGGACAGCUUUGCUAUUGAAGAUCCCCAGUGAUAGCUUGUGGGAUAUGUAAGAGGCCGGCCUGCUUGAUCUUGC